UCAAGUUAUUAAGGGUGCAGGGCGGAUGCCUUGGCACUAGGAGCCGAUGAAGGACGUGAUAAGCUGCGAUAAGCUUCGGGGAGUUGCACGUAAACUUUGAUCCGAAGAUUUCCGAAUGAGGAAACUCACUUAGAGUAAUGUCUAAGUAUCGUUAAGUGAAUACAUAGCUUAGCGAGGGGAACCCGGGGAACUGAAACAUCUAAGUACCCGGAGGAAGAGAAAGAAAUUCGAUUCCGUAAGUAGCGGCGAGCGAACGCGGAACAGGCCAAACCAAUGAAGUUUACUUCGUUGGGGUUGCGGACAUACAACAUGGAUGCAAUAUCGUAAAUGAAGAGAGUUGGAAAGCUCCGCCAUAGAAGGUAAUAGCCCUGUAGUUGAAACGAGAAAGCUACUAGUAUGAUCCAGAGUACCACGGGACACGUGAAACCCUGUGGGAAGCAGGAGGGACCAUCCUCCAAGCCUAAAUACUACCUAGUGACCGAUAGCGCAUAGUACCGUGAGGGAAAGGUGAAAAGAACCCCGGGAGGGGAGUGAAAUAGAACCUGAAACCCUGCACUUACAAGCUGUGGGAGCACAUUACUUGUGUGACCGCGUACUUUUUGUAGAACGGGCCAACGAGUUACGUUAAGUAGCAAGGUUAAGCACUUAAGGUGUGGAGCCGUAGCGAAAGCGAGUCUUAAAUGGGCGUCCAGUUACCCGACGUAGACCCGAAACCAGGCGACCUAUCCAUGAGCAGGUUGAAGCGAAAGUAAAAUUUCGUGGAGGACCGAACCCACGAGCGUUGAAAAGCUCGGGGAUGACUUGUGGAUAGCGGUGAAAUUCCAAUCGAGCCCGGAGAUAGCUGGUUCUCCCCGAAAUAGCUUUAGGGCUAGCCUCAAGCGUAGAGAAACGGAGGUAGAGCACUGAAUGUCCUAGGGGGUAUUGCACUUACCGAAGACUAUCAAACUCCGAAUGCCGUAUUCUUUUGCUUGGGAGUCAGACUAUGGGUGAUAAGAUUCAUAGUCAAGAGGGCAACAGCCCAGAUCGUCAGCUAAGGUCCCUAAAUGUAAGUUAAGUGGUAAAGGAUGUGGAAUUGCACAGACAACCAGGAUGUUGGCUUAGAAGCAGCCACUCAUUUAAAGAGUGCGUAAUAGCUCACUGGUCGAGUGAUUCUGCGCCGAAAAUUUCCGGGGCUAAAACUUACUACCGAAGCUACGGCAUCAUUAUGAUGGGUAGGGGAGCUUUCUAUGUGGCUUGAAGCAUGACCGUAAGGACAUGUGGACUGCAUAGAAGUGAGAAUGUUGGCAUGAGUAGCGAGAUGUGGGUGAGAAUCCCACAGGCCGUAAACCCAAGGUUUCCAGGGGAAGGUUCGUCCGCCCUGGGUUAGUCAGGACCUAAGCCGAGGCCGAAAGGCGUAGGUGAUGGACAACAGGUUGAUAUUCCUGUACCACCAAUAACCGUUUGAGAAAUGGGAUGACACAGUAGGAUAAGCUAACCGCACUGUUGGUUAUGUGCGGGCAAGUAUUGAGGCAGUUCCGAUAGGCAAAUCCGUCGGAAUAAUGCUGGGGUACGAUGCGGAGCGAAAUUUAGUAGCGAAGUAGCUGAUUUCACACUGUCGAGAAAAGUCUCUAUCGAGGUUAAAGGUGCCUGUACCGCAAACCGACACAGGUGGGUGAGGAGAGUAUCCUAAGGCCAGCGAGAGAACUGUUGUUAAGGAACUCGGCAAAAUGACCCCGUAACUUAGGGAGAAGGGGUGCCUUCGAAAGAAGGCCGCAGAGAAUAGGCCCAAGCGACUGUUUACCAAAAACAUAGGUUUCUGCUAAGUCGCAAGACGAUGUAUAGGAGCUGACGCCUGCCCGGUGCUGGAAGGUUAAGGGGAUCUGUUAGAGCAAUCGAAGCAGUGAACUUAAGCCCCAGUAAACGGCGGCCGUAACUAUAACGGUCCUAAGGUAGCGAAAUUCCUUGUCGGGUAAGUUCC
This 1957-nucleotide ribosomal RNA is filed under the name human gut metagenome. RNAcentral describes it as "bacterial LSU rRNA". It matches the Rfam family "Bacterial large subunit ribosomal RNA", at positions 3 to 1984 of the family's 2925-position model. The record is from RNAcentral.